UUCACGCUGUUAUCUGAAAUACCGGACACGGACUUAAAAGGAUGCAGAGGAGAUACUGAUGUCUUGGUUGCAUCAAAGGAUACAACUGAGUGUCUACUGCCAUGGGAAACUUCAGACUGACGAGGUCUUCCAGGCUUGGCAUCCAUUUCUGCCUCAACACGUUUCUUCCAUGUAUCAACCAAGCUCCUUGCCUUUUUCCCAAUUUCUGAGUUCUUAUGUGAUCGCAAUCGAUUAACAGACUUCCCAAUGUUGCAAGUCUGAAGAGCAUUGAGGUUCACAGGCAGCUUGUCAAGAGCACGUAGUAAAAUCAAAAGAAACUCGUCCACUGAUCUAUCAUUGUCUUUGGGACUGCUCCCAUCCCCAAUUUUCCUUCUAUGAAUCUCCUGUAGCCACUCAUCAAAAACAGAUAAACCCCUCAGCUGGACGAAACGACUGAGACAGUCAAACUUGUCUGUUGCAGCUACAGCACUUGCAAGAAUGGACCGCCCAAUCAAAUCUGUCUUCUUCUCAUUCUUCUCAGGUAGCAUGAGCUGUACCAAUUUCUCAACCCCUUCAGAAUCCACUAGCCUCCCUCUCUCAGUAAUUUUUGCAAUCUCAGACUUCAAACUGCUUUCUUUUCUUACAAAACCAGAACCACCAUCAUCACCUCGGCUCGGACGUUCCCUUUUCACAGAUUCAGAACCCUGAUCACCACGCUCUCUCUUCCUUCCCUUGCCCUGUGAAGAAGAGGAGCUACUGUUCUGCAUACCUUCUGUUCCUGUUUUCACUUGAGAUGUUGUUAACCUAGGAGAACAACCACACUGCUGUAAACUCUUACACAAUAAGUUAUCUACUUCUUGUUGACGUUCCUGCAUAAAAAAAAAAGACUUGUCAAAACCAGAGAAGAAACAUAAUUGGAUAACGAAUUUUAAUCACUCACUCACUCACAUCGAUAUAAUCUUGAUCAGUGAGCCACCAAAUAGACUCAUUCAUAACAUCAUAAACCCUCCAGCAAACAAACGAAGAGAUUCCAGAUGGGAGUUCAACGCCUCUGGGAAGAAAGGUAACUUUACACGGAUGAAGCAAAGACGCAGCAGGUAUCUCAUCCUCGUGAAAGGAGUAAAAGAUCUCGUUAGGCUGAGCCUCCAAAAGGACGCCCUUCCCAAGCUUCAACUCACCGGGUCGAUACAGCCAAUUCACACGAACCUUAAAGCUGCCUCCUUCUUCUCGUUCCGGAACCAGCAAACGGAUCAAACCAAUGAACGGUGGACAAUCCUGAGGCGGCUUGAACAGAGCACAGUCACCAACACUAAUCCUCCUCCCGUCCUGCAAUAACCAUCAUCAAAAUCAAAACUUUAAAUCAAAUCGGAACCAAUCAAAAGCCAAUUGAGACGAAUCAAGUUACCUUAGAGAAGGAAGAAGGUGAAGAAAGAGAGAGCGACGAAGAAGAAGAAGAAGCGGUUGAGAUUAGACGCGAAGGAGGUCUAAGCAUAAGCAGACGACGAUGACCUUUCUUCCUCCCAUGCAUAGCCGUCUCUCAUUUUUUCCCCUUUCGAAUCAAAACAAACACAAUUUCGUCUUCCUUGUCAGAAUUGGUUUUCGAUUAAAAAAAACCCUAAAAUUGAGAUUAAAAGAAGAAGAUGCGAUUCCUUAGGGAUUGAUUUUUGAAAUCGAGUACCUGAUCCAAUCAACCCGCGAAGAUCCAACAGCGAGAAGAAGAAGAAACCCCCGUAGAGUGCGAGACACGAAUCGAAAGCACGCCCUUGUUUGUUUUUUCGAUCCAGCGAAGAAGAAGAAGAAGAAGAAGAAGAAAAAAAAAUAAAAUCGAGAGAGAGAGAGAGAGAGAGACGAAGGCAAAAGGGGGGUACUACGAGUCGGGGCAGUUCGGGCAUGUGUUUCGGGCAGCGUUUUUAUUUAUUUUGUUUUUGGUUUUCUGGUGACAUUUGAGUGUGUUUUUCUUUUCUCCCCCCUUUUUAUAGCUCUUUUUGAUUUUUCUAAUUUUUUCCUAAAUUUAAAACAAAACGAACUUCGUGAUUUAAAAAAAAAAGUUAUUUGGGUUAAACACAAAAAAAAGUCUGAUCAUUUAUAAAAAUCAAACGAAAUUUAGGAUCAUUUUUAAUCAACAAACUCAAAAAUAAAUGUGAGUACUUUAUAAAAUAAAAUUAGAGAAAUGUUCUGCUCAUUUUGUUUCAUAUAAUGUAUUUUAAAAAAUGUUCUCGCGUAUUUAAAAUUGAAUUAGAAACUCUAUUUUAUCCGUUGACACACUUUUUUAUUUAUUUAAUACACUAAUACAAUAAGGUUAAAAAUGAACAUUUAUUUAAAUUUUGUAUUGAAAAUAAAAAACGACACACUUUUUGAAAUAAAAAUAAAACUCUAAACACACUUUUUAAGAAACUGGGAAGUAUUAUCUAAUAUUUAUAGAAGAAAAUAUCACAUUCAUCUAAAAAUAGAAAAAAAAAUAUAACAUAUUGGAGUAAAAUCUUCAUUUUCUGUAUCUUUAGAUAUGUGCACAUUUUCUUGCCAAGAAGAUAAGAAAUAUUGAAAUUUUCUUUUUUCCAUGUAGAUCAGAUCUGGUCUGAGAGAGCGUCUCUUUGGAACGUAUCAGCCAUGACUAAUACUUAUCUUAUAAAAUAAGUGUCGUAAAAAAAUGGAGUAAAAUUCCUAUGUAUUUGAAAAAUUCUAUUUUUAGUGGAAAAAAACUAGAAGAGAGAUUAUCUAUAUAGCAAGCAAACUAAAAUUAUAAGCAUGAAUAAGUUGUUUCCACAAGUUUACAAAACCGAUCAGUUUAUAUAAUAAUUUUGUGAUUUGAUCCAGUUUAUUCUGGCUGAUUACGGUUUGAAUGUGGUGACCUACCCUCCACAACAAGUUAUGUUUGGUUAUGAUUUUUAUGCGAGGAUCUUUUGGUUACAUUGUACAGUGUCAAAUCACUGUCAUCAAAGUACAAGUCAAUCAUUGUCUCUCUUUGACACAGACAUUAACUUUUUUUACAAUGAGACUAAGAAGCUAUUUGAGUAGCUUCCAGUGACAUGUCUUCUUCACUCACCGAUAGCUCCAAAACAUGUUCUUCACAAGGCACAAAAUAUGUAGAACAUCUCAAAGAUUUUGAGACAGUAAGGUUAAGCUAACUGAAGGUUCCAUAUUUGCAUAGGUGACAAGACUAGUCAAAAUUGGCAAUUGGAGAUGGUGCAAAAGAUGUUAGGAAUGCUUCAAGAAGCAGAUAUAGGAGUUGGGAUCAGUGGAGUGGAAGCAAUGCAGGUUCUUUAAAGAAUCUUAGGACAACCAUUUGCACGGUUUUGUAUCAAGGUAUAAUGAAUCAUUCAAAUCAAAAAGAGCUGCGUAGUUUGCUGUAUAGUGGAGUUUCUUAACCCAAAGCCUUGCUUCGUUUGCUGUAACUGUUCCCUAUAUUGUACCAGGAAGUGGUACAAAAUCUCCCCUUUGGUUGUUACAUGGCUUCUGCAGCACAAUAACCAUUUUCUUCCUCUGCAAAACCUCUCUUGAAUCCCAAGCUUUCAACCACCAAGGGAAAACCGCAGGGGAGAGAGAGAUUUUUGGAGGAACUAUGUACACAUGUGGGUUGAGUUAGCAGAUGGUACAAUCAGUUACUACCUGUUAUUGCAAAUUUGCAAUAUAUGAGCCAUUUUGUUAUAACAGAGACAAAGUUCUGAAAUGUGGAUUCAAACAUAACUAACCACAAGUAAAAAAAAUCUACAAAAGAGUUGCUGCUGACUAUAUAAUACACAAACCAUGUCAGAUUUUACCAGUCUCAUACCAACAAUGACCAUCAUUUUUUCUUUUACAGCAGAGCUCCAAAAAAAAGAGAAAAAAAAAACAUAAACUAAACACUCGCUUGCAUCUCUAAAAGAGAUAAGGAACUAAGUUAGCGUCUGCUUUUAUCUUCAAGAGUACCUAAGAGCCAACAAAGAUUGAAUUAGAAACACAGUCAGCGAGAGAUAAUAUAAAGAAACAGAAGAUGGUAGAGCUGAAAGAAGAGAGUAAAAAUAUGCUUACAUGCUUAGUGCAACGGCCUACAAAGAGAUUCUGAGGUUUGUUAUUGCCAAGAGGGUUGCUUGUAUCCAUCCCAUCCACCACUGUCUGGUUCCUUCCUCUUGAGAGUACCACCAAACAUUUGAUACAUUCUUGCUUCAUCUUUCAAGGGUAAAGAACCAGAGGAAGAUAGCUGUCUUUGUACAAGUGCUGCUUCAUCUCUGCCAUCAGUUUCAUGCCCUCCUGGUCCAGAGUUCAAGUCAAGACCAGAUCUAAACCAUUUUGCAUUGUUGCUGCUGUCCGAAACUCCACCAUUGCUACUACCGUUUGGGAGAUUAACGACAUAAGGUCUUGGGUAGUUAGAAGGGAUGGCAACUCCUGGACCCAAUAUUUGAGAGUUGACAGGAGGGAAGCAUAGCCUGCCACUUGAUGAAGAGUCCAUGUAUGGUGUUGAAGCACCUGAAAAAUUUGCUGAGGAAAGAGGAAAGCUGGAACCAAAAGGAAACCCAGGAUACUGAAAUGCUGAUGGUGGGAAUGAAACUGCUGGAGAAGACAGUAAAACAGGGCCUCUGUACAUAUCAGGUGUAUAUGAUGAAACUUCAGAUGUUGGACCAACCAUUCUCUGCGGUCCAUUGCCACGUUCAGGCAAGACUUGAGGAAUGCUCAUUGCUGAAUAAUUGUUAACAGCAGGAAACCAAGAUGAGAAGCCAGGCCUUAUUCCACUGAUCAUUGGCUGUGCACUUCGGGAAUUUUGACUAAAACCCAGAGAUGACUCAACAACGUUAACAUCAUCAACAGCAGGUCCAUCGUUUAAAUCAAAAUCCCUACUACCACCAGAAGAUAAGUUUGUCUGUUGAAAAGUUGAAUUCACCCGAUGACCACUGCUUACCGUAUGAUUAUUCAUAUCGGCUGGAUCAUCAAGUCUGUUUAGAUCAAGAUCCAGUACGCCACAGGGAUUUGUGGGAUUGGCAAAUCUUUGGGAAGGCAGAUCUUCAAGAACUCUUUCAUCCGGUACAUUUAGGUCGAAGUCCAAGAAUGUCUUUGUUUGCUUGCCAGCGGUUGUAGAAGCAUCACAGGAAGCCACAUUAUUCAUGCUUAGUGGCACCACCUCUUGGACUUUUCUUGGCUCAGCUGGUCGGAAGGCGCUAGUGGCAGCAGAUCCUCUCCACCCAACAGCUGGUUUAUUUCUCAACAGAUCAUCACGCGGAACAAAAGCACCCUUUGCAGCAGCAGCAACUGUAAUGGAUGCAGGAGGUCGACUGGUUUGUAAAGGAGUAGAUGUCAAAGACAACGAUCCAGAGAAGUUACUUGAAUUCUCCUUUCGUGUGUCAUCCCCACUGAAAGCUUCAUUUAGGUCAAAUUUAACUCCGGCUUCCAGCUCUGACCCUGCUAAAGCUGAAACUGAGGGAAGAUCUUUGGCAGCAGAGGUAAAUUCCUCUGUUUCAUGCCCAUCAGCACAUGUUGUCGUGGCGCACUGUUUUCCGACUUCAGCACUCUUUAGAGACGCCUCCACAUGCUCAACUUCAAUCUUAGUUACAGAUGAAUCCAGAUGAGCUGUCACAGGCUUGUUCUUUUUAUCUGUCUGGUUCACAUGAUUAAUCCCCACGUCCAUCUUUUCUGCAGCUAUGCCCUUGGAGAGCUUGGACGAAACAGUUACAUCUUCAGCCGUUUCUUUAUCCAAUUCAGAACUCAAGACUACCGGGGGUUUAUGCUCUUCCUUGUUAUCAGAGUGUGAAUUUGCAACAACCAAGGAUUCUACUUUGGGACAUAAUACGAUGGCUUUACAUUCAGCUGGCGCAGAAGUUUCCACUGAUGUACAAGCAGCCUUUCGAUCGUUAGCUGUUCCACCACAAUCAUUAUCAUCAGACAAUUUCUCUGGCAUCGAUCUAUCAACAUUUUCAGUACUCCUAUCCUUGGCAAACUCUGACAAAACUGAAACCACUUCACCCAUUUUAUUAACUAGCUCAGAACUUAAUAUCACCUUUGGUUUAUCUUCCACCUGAGCACCACCAGCAGCCUCCAAGUGUGAAUCUUCAGCAGUCAAAGAAUCUGCAUUUUGACUUUUGCCAAUGGUUUUACAUAUACGUAAGGCAGAGUUUCCUGUCCUCAUCACUGUAUCUGCCACUCCAUCUGUCUCUGAUAUCUCUUCAGUCUUUUGGUCACUAACUACCCCACUAUCACCAUCAUCAGAAAUGUUUCCCCCAAUGCCUGAUGUGUGCCCAGCGGUUGGGGCAAUAUCAUCUGAAUUUUCAUUGCUUUCUAGGCACUGAUCCACCAAUCUUUGCAACUCUUCGAUUUCUGAAUCGGAGUUAUCAUCAAGAUCUCCCGGCUUAGAAUCAUUUUCAUUCUCUACAACGGCCAACUGCUCGCCACUACUACUGACAUGUUCAACAAUGGUGGGAUUCACAUUCUCAGCUUGCUCGCUAGGCAUGCCAUCCAAAGAAUCUGAAACCCGAGAUACCGAGGGUGAUGCAACAGGGGAUUUGGACAUUUCAUCAGCAGCAACAGUAGCUAGAAGAUUCAUUCCAACAUCAUCUGCACCAGCCACACAUGCAUUCGCCUCAGAGUCCCUGACACAACUUUCAAUCAAAGCAUUCAUUAAGCUGUGUGAUUCACCAUGUCCUUUUCCAGUUUUGACAUCAUCUCCUGAGGUAGGAGACGUGGGCUUGACAAUAUCUUCUAUUUUACUAGACUCAUUAACAGCCUUCUCGUGCCCAUCACCACGUUCACCACAUUUAGGCAGCUUAACCAUCAACUUAUUGCUACAACCUUCAGCUUUCUCAAAAGUUACAGUUCUUUGUGAUGAGAUGCUCCUGCUCAGCCCAACUUCUGCGUGGACUGCAACAGUAUUUCUUUGCUGCCCAACGUUAGCAACAGCAACACCUGUUCCAGGUGAUGGGGCUGAUCUAGUAGAACUUGGAGAGGUGGUUGCAGACUUCACGCUGUUAUCUGAAAUACCGGACACGGACUUAAAAGGAUGCAGAGGAGAUACUGAUGUCUUGGUUGCAUCAAAGGAUACAACUGAGUGUCUACUGCCAUGGGAAACUUCAGACUGACGAGGUCUUCCAGGCUUGGCAUCCAUUUCUGCCUCAACACGUUUCUUCCAUGUAUCAACCAAGCUCCUUGCCUUUUUCCCAAUUUCUGAGUUCUUAUGUGAUCGCAAUCGAUUAACAGACUUCCCAAUG
RNAcentral lists this long non-coding RNA (7148 nucleotides) under Brassica napus (rape). RNAcentral's name for it is "long non-coding RNA (BNAP_LNC016785)". Lineage: Eukaryota; Viridiplantae; Streptophyta; Magnoliopsida; Brassicales; Brassicaceae. The record is from RNAcentral.